UACAGAGGAUGCAAGCGUUAUCCGGAAUGAUUGGGCGUAAAGGGUGCGUAGGCGGCGCGGUAAGUCGGGUGUGAAAUCUCGGAGCUUAACUUCGAAACUGCAUUCGAUACUGCCGUGCUUGAGGACUGGAGAGGAGACUGGAAUUCCUGGUGUAGCAGUGAAAUGCGUAGAUAUCAGGAGGAAUACCGAUGGCGAAGGCAGGUCUCUGGGCUGACACUGACGCUCAUGCACGAAAGCGUGGGGAGCAAACAGG
This 253-nucleotide ribosomal RNA is filed under the name uncultured bacterium. RNAcentral's name for it is "partial 16S ribosomal RNA". It matches the Rfam family "Bacterial small subunit ribosomal RNA", at positions 524 to 776 of the family's 1533-position model. The record is from RNAcentral.